Molecule: ribosomal RNA, 612 nt
Filed under: uncultured bacterium
Lineage: Bacteria
Description: bacterial SSU rRNA
Rfam family: Bacterial small subunit ribosomal RNA
Source: RNAcentral
AGAGUUUGAUGAUGGCUCAGAUUGAACGCUGGCGGCAUGCUUAAUACAUGCAAGUCGAACGGUAACAGAUUCUUCGGAAUGCUGACGAGUGGCGGACGGGUGAGUAAUACAUAGGAAUCUGCCCAUGUAGUGGGGGACAACUUGGGGAAACUCAAGCUAAUACCGCAUAAUUCCUACGGGAUAAAGAGGGCCACUGCUUGCAAGCUCUUGCUACUGGAUGAGCCUAUGUCGGAUUAGUUAGUUGGUAAGGUAAUGGCUUACCAAGACAGCGAUCCGUAGCUGGUUUGAGAGGAUGAUCAGCCACACUGGGACUGAGACACGGCCCAGACUCCUACGGGAGGCAGCAGUAGGGAGUAUUGGACAAUGGGCGCAAGCCUGAUCCAGCAAUGCCGCGUGUGUGAAGAAGGCCUGCGGGUUGUAAAGCACUUUCAAUUGGGAAGAAAGAUUAUGAGUUAAUACCUUAUAAUAUUGACGUUACCAAUACAAGAAGCACCGGCUAACUCUGUGCCAGCAGCCGCGGUAAUACAGAGGGUGCGAGCGUUAAUCGGAAUUACUGGGCGUAAAGAGUACGUAGGUGGUUAAAUCAGUCGGAUGUGAAAGCCCCAGGCUUAA